ACACUGCUGAAGAGUCCCAAACUAGGACGAAACAGCUGUCCAGUAC
RNAcentral lists this non-coding RNA (46 nucleotides) under Trichobilharzia regenti. Lineage: Eukaryota; Metazoa; Platyhelminthes; Trematoda; Strigeidida; Schistosomatidae. The record is from RNAcentral.